CGAGGGGAGCCCUAGCACAGGUGCUGCAUGGCCGUCGUCAGCUCGUGCCGUGAGGUGUUGGGUUAAGUCCCGCAACGAGCGCAACCCCGCGUUAGUUGCCAGCGGUUCGGCCGGGCACUCUAAACGGGACUGCCCGCGAAAGCGGGAGGAAGAGGGGACGACGUCUGGUCAGCAUGGCCCUUACGGCCUGGGCGACACACGUGCUACAAUGCCUACUACAAAGCGAUGCACCCGGCAACGGGGAGCUAAUCGCAAAAAGGUGGGCCCAGUUCGGAUUGGGGUCUGCAACCCGACCCCAUGAAGCCGGAAUCGCUAGUAAUCGCGGAUCAGCCAUGCCGCGGUGAAUACGUUCCCGGGCCUU
Molecule: ribosomal RNA, 361 nt
Filed under: uncultured Thermus sp.
Lineage: Bacteria; Thermotogati; Deinococcota; Deinococci; Thermales; Thermaceae
Description: bacterial SSU rRNA
Rfam family: Bacterial small subunit ribosomal RNA
Source: RNAcentral